RNAcentral lists this ribosomal RNA (756 nucleotides) under bacterium 162_xplvp226. RNAcentral's name for it is "bacterial SSU rRNA". It matches the Rfam family "Bacterial small subunit ribosomal RNA", at positions 51 to 818 of the family's 1533-position model. RNAcentral also lists the same sequence under 1 other name. The record is from RNAcentral.
ACACAUGCAAGUCGACGAUGAUGCCCAGGCUUGCUGGGCGGAUUAGUGGCGAACGGGUGAGUAAUACGUGAGUAACCUGCCCUUGACUCUGGGAUAAGCCUGGGAAACUGGGUCUAAUACUGGAUACUACCUCUUACCGCAUGGUGGGUGGUGGAAAGGGUUUUACUGGUUUUGGAUGGGCUCACGGCCUAUCAGCUUGUUGGUGGGGUAAUGGCUCACCAAGGCGACGACGGGUAGCCGGCCUGAGAGGGUGACCGGCCACACUGGGACUGAGACACGGCCCAGACUCCUACGGGAGGCAGCAGUGGGGAAUAUUGCACAAUGGGCGGAAGCCUGAUGCAGCGACGCCGCGUGAGGGAUGACGGCCUUCGGGUUGUAAACCUCUUUCAGUAGGGAAGAAGCGAGAGUGACGGUACCUGCAGAAGAAGCGCCGGCUAACUACGUGCCAGCAGCCGCGGUAAUACGUAGGGCGCAAGCGUUGUCCGGAAUUAUUGGGCGUAAAGAGCUCGUAGGCGGUUUGUCGCGUCUGCUGUGAAAGCCCGGGGCUCAACCCCGGGUCUGCAGUGGGUACGGGCAGACUAGAGUGCAGUAGGGGAGACUGGAAUUCCUGGUGUAGCGGUGAAAUGCGCAGAUAUCAGGAGGAACACCGAUGGCGAAGGCAGGUCUCUGGGCUGUUACUGACGCUGAGGAGCGAAAGCAUGGGGAGCGAACAGGAUUAGAUACCCUGGUAGUCCAUGCCGUAAACGUUGGGCACUA